This is a long non-coding RNA of Drosophila subpulchrella, 413 nucleotides long. RefSeq lists it as uncharacterized. Lineage: Eukaryota; Metazoa; Arthropoda; Insecta; Diptera; Drosophilidae. The record is from RefSeq and is a predicted model, not a curated record. The transcript has 2 exons.
UCGAUCGACCGGUUGAUUGGUAAAAGUGAGAUGCAGCAGCAUAUCGGAGAACUUUGAUUCCGUGCAAUUCAUUUAACCGGCGCUUCUUCAAUCAAGGCGGUAAAUUUCCGUGCGUCUUCGAUUGGAUGGCCCCAGGGGGCUGCUGGGGGUUAAGAAUUCGAUGCGAUGGGCACGUGCGGGUUUAAAAUCAAGUCGAAAACCGAAUUCCGGAACACGGACGGAUCCUUGAACCUGAUCGAACCACUUCCUGCCGGUGGAAACCCCCGACCACAACCCUUUUCUUUAUAAUACACAUGUAUAUCAGUACCCAUUGUCAUGACGCAAUCAGCGUUACGAAUCCAACAUUGUACUCUUAAAAUACACUUGAAUAGCCGACAGAGAGAAAAUAAAUAAAUUAACUAUCUUUGAAUGAU